GAGGGCUAGCGCAAAUUGUGGCACCGGCAACUCGCUGAGGCACUUCCUGUUGCAGGUUGCGGUGCCGCGGCGAAUCGUGGCAGCUGCCUCGAGUUUACGGCAACUGCCUCGCCUGUUGCCUCGGCUGAGUGAGGUACCUCGAGCGGUACCACGAAUUCAGGGACCGGUUCAUCGGUCGAGAGAGGUACCUCCAGCGGUACCUCGAGUUAAGGGAGUCUUGCCACGACCUAACGGAGGCAUGCAACGACAAAAGGGAGCGGUGCAUCGGCUGAUAGAGCUUCCUGUUUGACGUGAGCUGACAGCUGUCUGGUGCGCUCUCCCUCGGCCUGGACCUCGUUCUCUGCUCACUGGGCUUCACCGUUGCCGGCCAAACGCCCGUAUUCUUCUGUUUGUGUUUGUGUUCAUUAAAACACUUUACGUUC
This is a long non-coding RNA of Gasterosteus aculeatus aculeatus (three-spined stickleback), 422 nucleotides long. RefSeq lists it as uncharacterized. Lineage: Eukaryota; Metazoa; Chordata; Actinopteri; Perciformes; Gasterosteidae. The record is from RefSeq and is a predicted model, not a curated record.